This 465-nucleotide ribosomal RNA is filed under the name Vreelandella stevensii. RNAcentral's name for it is "partial 16S ribosomal RNA". It matches the Rfam family "Bacterial small subunit ribosomal RNA", at positions 338 to 795 of the family's 1533-position model. Lineage: Bacteria; Pseudomonadati; Pseudomonadota; Gammaproteobacteria; Oceanospirillales; Halomonadaceae. The record is from RNAcentral.
CCUACGGGAGGCAGCAGUGGGGAAUAUUGGACAAUGGGGGCAACCCUGAUCCAGCCAUGCCGCGUGUGUGAAGAAGGCCCUCGGGUUGUAAAGCACUUUCAGUGAGGAAGAACGCCUGGUGGUUAAUACCCAUCAGGAAAGACAUCACUCACAGAAGAAGCACCGGCUAACUCCGUGCCAGCAGCCGCGGUAAUACGGAGGGUGCGAGCGUUAAUCGGAAUUACUGGGCGUAAAGCGCGCGUAGGUGGCUUGAUAAGCCGGUUGUGAAAGCCCCGGGCUCAACCUGGGAACGGCAUCCGGAACUGUCAAGCUAGAGUGCAGGAGAGGAAGGUAGAAUUCCCGGUGUAGCGGUGAAAUGCGUAGAGAUCGGGAGGAAUACCAGUGGCGAAGGCGGCCUUCUGGACUGACACUGACACUGAGGUGCGAAAGCGUGGGUAGCAAACAGGAUUAGAUAUCCGGGUAGUC